This 18-nucleotide non-coding RNA is filed under the name Arabidopsis thaliana (thale cress). The record is from RNAcentral. Lineage: Eukaryota; Viridiplantae; Streptophyta; Magnoliopsida; Brassicales; Brassicaceae.
GUGGACGUGCCGGAGUGG